AGAAGGUAUUCAAGCCGCAAAGACAAUGUUGUAUCCCUAUUAAUGCUUAAUAAAAAAUAUACAAAAUAACAAUAGUAAUGAUCUCUAUAUGAGUAGUACUAGUGAGUAGUGAGUGGUAACUAAGAGUGCAAUAUAGUAUAGGUGGGGGUGUGAUGAGGAAAGAAGCAGUCAAAGAUUUUGUGUUGUAAUGAUUAAAGUGUUUGGUAUGUCUUUACUCAUAUGAAAAUGAUUUUUUAAGGAAAGGACGAUAAACAAGGAACAAAGGAAACAGUAAAGAAAAAGUGAGUUUGGAUGGCAGAAAAAAGAGAUAAAGGGCAAAAAUUGUAAAAAAAUUUAAAAAAAAAAGGAAAAGAAAUCAUCAGAAGGUGUGUGCCAGGUAGAUUUGUUCAGAUGCUAAGUGGACCCCUCUUGGAGUCAGGAACCGAUGCAUGAUAAAAGGGUUCUUUUCCUCUUGGGCUAAUUUUAAAGGCAAUACAAUUAACUCCCGGGCCCACUCCAUGGCCCACUAACUCUGUUCUUCUACAUCAUUCAUCUCCAAUUCUUUCUUUCUUUUUUCAUGAUGAAGAAGCUACUCUUGAUAUAUAGUUUCACAUGAAAAUGCUUGUAGUAUUCUUCUGAAGUGAAAAUGACAUAUUCAAGGUAGCAAUUACUAAUACAAUAUAG
RNAcentral lists this long non-coding RNA (663 nucleotides) under Vigna radiata. RNAcentral describes it as "long non-coding RNA (VRAD_LNC004042)". Lineage: Eukaryota; Viridiplantae; Streptophyta; Magnoliopsida; Fabales; Fabaceae. The record is from RNAcentral.